GACGGAGGGUGCAAGCGUUGUUCGGAAUCAUUGGGCGUAAAGGGCGCGCAGGCGGUUUAGCAAGUCCGAUGUGAAAUCCCGGGGCUCAACCCCGGAAGUGCAUCGGAAACUGUUAGACUUGAGUUUGAGAGAGGUCCGUGGAAUUCCAGGUGUAGGGGUGAAAUCCGUAGAUAUCUGGAGGAACACCAGCGGCGAUAGCGACGGACUGGAUCACAACUGACGCUGAGGCGCGAAAGCGUGGGGAGCGAACAGG
RNAcentral lists this unclassified non-coding RNA (253 nucleotides) under uncultured Bradymonadales bacterium. RNAcentral describes it as "contains 16S-23S intergenic spacer region". It matches the Rfam family "Bacterial small subunit ribosomal RNA", at positions 524 to 776 of the family's 1533-position model. Lineage: Bacteria; Deltaproteobacteria; Bradymonadales. The record is from RNAcentral.